This is a long non-coding RNA of Sinocyclocheilus rhinocerous, 401 nucleotides long. RefSeq lists it as uncharacterized. NCBI's taxonomy places the organism in Eukaryota, Metazoa, Chordata, Actinopteri, Cypriniformes, Cyprinidae. The record is from RefSeq and is a predicted model, not a curated record. The transcript is spliced from 3 exons.
AGCAGCAGCAACAGAAGAAGAAGAAUGAGGACUAAUAAAAUGUGUUAAAAAGAAGUAGUCUGAUCGCUGGAAGUAAAUGAAUCGUCGAAUUGAAAGGAAGCUGCUUUUUUAAAACAAUAUUUCCAAGACCCAGUAAUAAAGACGGUUCAGGUGAAUGUAAGAAGAUGGUAUUGAAAGAGAUUCCAACAGACAAUAUCACUCGCCCUUUGGGCCGUAACGAGGUCAUAGGUUUACUUUUUCGCCUCACAAUAUUUGGUGCCGUCACAUAUUUUACCAUAAAGUGGAUGGUGGAUGCUAUAGAUCCAACAAGAAAACAGAAAGUUGAGGCACAAAAACAGGCAGAGAAACUCAUGCGGCAGAUUGGAGUGCAGAAUGUGAAGCUUUCUGAAUAUGAGAUGAGC